UCAUAUCAAUAAGCGGAGGAAAAGAAACCAACAGGGAUUGCCUCAGUAACGGCGAGUGAAGCGGCAACAGCUCAAAUUUGAAAUCUGGCGGCCUCUGGGCCGUCCGAGUUGUAAUUUGAAGAGGAUGCUUUUGGCGAGGCGCCUUCCGAGUGCCCUGGAACGGGACGCCACAGAGGGUGAGAGCCCCGUAUGGUUGGACGCCGAGCCUCUGUAAAGCUCCUUCGACGAGUCGAGUAGUUUGGGAAUGCUGCUCAAAAUGGGAGGUAAACCCCUUCUAAAGCUAAAUACUGGCCAGAGACCGAUAGCGCACAAGUAGAGUGAUCGAAAGAUGAAAAGCACUUUGAAAAGAGAGUUAAAUAGCACGUGAAAUUGUUGAAAGGGAAGCGCUUGCGACCAGACUUGUGCCCGUCGAAUCAGCCGCCGCUCGCCGGCGGCGCACUUCGGCGGGCUCAGGCCAGCAUCAGUUCGCUGCAGGGGGAGAAAGGCGGCGGGAAUGUGGCUCUUCGGAGUGUUAUAGCCCGCCGCGCAAUACCCCUCGGCGGACUGAGGACCGCGCAUCUGCAAGGAUGCUGGCGUAAUGGUCGUCAGCGACCCGUCUUGAAACACGGACCAAGGAGUCGUCCUAAUAUGCGAGUGUUCGGGUGUAAAACCCCUGCGCGUAAUGAAAGUGAACGGAGGUGAGAGCUUCGGCGCAUCAUCGACCGAUCCUGAUGUUCUCGGAUGGAUUUGAGUAAGAGCAUAUUGGGCCGGACCCGAAAGAAGGUGAACUAUGCCUGUAUAGGGUAAAGCCAGAGGAAACUCUGGUGGAGGCUCGCAGCGGUUCUGACGUGCAAAUCGAUCGUCAAAUAUGGGCAUGGGGGCGAAAGACUAAUCGAACCUUCUAGUAGCUGGUUU
Molecule: ribosomal RNA, 894 nt
Filed under: Scedosporium apiospermum
Lineage: Eukaryota; Fungi; Ascomycota; Sordariomycetes; Microascales; Microascaceae
Description: LSU rRNA
Rfam family: Eukaryotic large subunit ribosomal RNA
Source: RNAcentral